This 496-nucleotide ribosomal RNA is filed under the name uncultured bacterium. RNAcentral describes it as "bacterial SSU rRNA". The record is from RNAcentral.
ACCUGGCGGCGGCCUACACAUGCNAGUCGAGACGGUUGCACCGGAGCAUGUUGCUCCUUGCGUGACCAGAGGGGUAAGGGUUGACUAUGUCUGGGCAUCUUCCUGAGGGACGGGGAUUCCCACUGGACGCUGAUGCCUCUUCCGUCCUACGUCACAAGACCAGGGACGUUGACGCUUUGGCCUCUUACUUUAGCAUGAGUCCGAUUGGCUUUUUCGUGAGGGUCAUGGCUCUGGCCCGCCACGAUCACUAUCUGGUCCUAGACGAAGAUGAUUACCACUGGCACUGAAACUGAGUCCCGACUCCUACUGCUACCGGCGGUGGCGAUUAUUGGUCUUUGGGCAAGAGCCUGAUCCUGCUGUGCCCCUUGUGUGAGUAUGGUCAUCGGAUUGUGGUUGACUUUUACUUUCGACGAGGGGGUGUGCAAUACUGCUCUGCACCUCUUACAUUGCCGUUACACUCAGAAGAGGCUACGUCUGUGUCCGCUGCCGCGGCCAU